UUUUAUAAGACUAAUAAGAAUUUUAUGUUCUUCAUUUUACAGAAGGAAAAAUGAAACCAGAGGAACUACCUUGUCAUUCAGCCAUCAAACAUAGAGCCUGGCUUCAAACUCAACUCUCACUCCAAAACGUGUGUUGAUUUCAAAACAACAUGUCAAAAUAGUGAAAAAAUCUGUCCUUGUCAUUUCUCAAAGCCUUUCAAGAUCUACCUGUUUAUUGAAAGUUUUCCUUCUAUGAGAGGAGAUACCUAUAGAGAAAGAGAAUGGAAAAGGGAAAAUGUGAGUACAGAGAAAUUGGCACUGAUUUCCAUCACAAAAAGAGACUCUACAAAGCUCUGGAGGAAAGUUACACCACCGCAUAGGCUGAUGUUGGAUGACUAGACUGUUGUCAGGAGACUUAAUAACCAGGUAAGCACUUUACACUGGUUAAAAUCCAAAUCAUAAAUAUGCUUUAUAUUUACUUGAAUUCAAACCCUUUAUGCCCUUUCAGAAUAUUUAAAGAAAACUAGUAAAUGUUCUUGAUAAAGUUCAUUUUCAGUUUAAAUAGUAUCAUAAAAAAUCAUGUUCUGACAUCUAGAACACAUAUGCAAUUACAUGAACCAAUUUUGAAAAUUGAAAAGCUGAUUAGAGUAAAAUAGACCUAGUUUUUAAUGUAUUUAAUAAUAUCUGAAGGGAGAACUUGCUUUGCUUUGG
This is a long non-coding RNA of Bos indicus x Bos taurus (hybrid cattle), 690 nucleotides long. NCBI's taxonomy places the organism in Eukaryota, Metazoa, Chordata, Mammalia, Artiodactyla, Bovidae. The record is from Ensembl.